CGAGCCGGCGUCGUGUCGUGCGUUUUGAAAAACGACCCAGGGAGUGCACUUGAUUGGCGAGUCUAACCCGUGAACCGGGGAAGGCGCAGGGAAACCGAUACGGCCGCAGCACAUUCGUGUGAGGGCCACCGUGUUCAAGCGCGGGGAGUCAAUCAGGUGCGACCCGAAACCAGGCGAUCUACGCGCGAGCAAGGUGAAGCGUGGCGAAAGCCACGUGGAGGCCUGUUAGAGUUGGUAUUCUACAAUAUCCUCUCGUGACUCGUGUGUAGGGGUGAAAGGCCCAUCGAGCCUGGCAACAGCUGGUUCCAACCGAAACAUGUCGAAGCAUGACCUCUUCCGAGGUAGCCCGCGGGGUAGAGCUACCGAUUGGAUGACCCGCCUCCGAGAGGAGUCGGCCAUCCUGUCGAACUCCAAACCCGCAGGCGCUGUAGACGAAGGGAGUCCGGUGCGCGGGGUAAGCCUGUGUACCGUGAGGGGAACAACCCAGAGCCGGGUUAAGGUCCCAAAGUGUAGAUUAAGUGCGAUUCGAAGGUGGUCUCAAGCCCUAAACAGCCGGGAGGUGAGCUUAGAAGCAGCUACCCUCUAAGAAAAGCGUAACAGCUUACCGGCCGAGGUUUGAGGCGCCCAAAAUGAUCGGGGCUCAAAUCUACCACCGAGACCUGGCCGUGCCCUUGACAGGGGCAACCGCGUAGGUUGGCGUACUGGUCGGAUGGAAGCCCGGGCGAGAGCUCGUGUGGACCGUCCAGUAACGACAAUCCUGGUCACAGUAGCAGCGAUAGUCGGGUGAGAACCUCGACGGCCUGAAGAGCAAGGGUUCCUCGGCACUGCCGUUCAGCCGAGGGUUAGCCGGUCCUAAGGUGUACCACAACUUGACUACACCGACGGGAAGCUGGUUAAUAUUCCAGCGCCAUCGUGCAGUAAACGCCGACGCCGUGUGGAACGCUGAGCCGGGCACUCGCCCGGUCGAAUCGUGGAAACUCGUGGACGCCGUCACGGCACGAAGCGAGCGAAGCGCGAAAUAGCGAAAGUCAGCCGUACAUAGGGCCCGUGAAAAGGCAAGCACGAUGUCCGUACCGAGAUCCGACACAGGUGCUCUGCCAGCGCAAGGCAAGGCCUGUCGGGAGAACCGACGUUAGGGAAUUCGGCAAGUUAGUCCCGUACCUUCGGAAGAAGGGAUGCCUGCUCUCGACGGAGCAGGUCGCAGUGACUCGGGCGCUCCGACUGUCUAGUAACAACACAGGUGACCGCAAAUCCGCAAGGACUCGUACGGUCACUGAAUCCUGCCCAGUGCGGGUAUCUGAACACCUCGUACAAGAGGACGAAGGACCCGUCAACGGCGGGGGUAACUAUGACCCUCUUAAGGUAGCGUAGUACCUUGCCGCUUCAGUAGCGGCUUGCAUGAAUGGAUAAACGAGAGCGCCACUGUCCCAACGUUGGACCCGGUGAACUGUACGUUCCAGUGCGGAGUCUGGAGACCCCCAAGGGGAAGCGAAGACCCUAUAGAGCUUUACUGCAGGCUGUCGCUGAGACGUGGUCGCCGAUGUGCAGCAUAGGUAGGAGUCGUUACAGAGGUACGCGCGCCAGCGCGCCACCCAGACAGCAUUGAAAUACUACCCGUCGGUGACUGCGACUCUCACUCCGGGAGGAGUACACCGGUAGCCGGGCAGUUUGACUGGGGCGGUACGCGCUCGAAAAGAUAUCGAGCGCGCCCGAAGAUCAUCUCAGCCGGGUCGGGAAUCCGGCGAAGAGCGCAAGAGCACAAGAUGGUCUGACAGUGUUCUUCCCAACGAGGAACGCUGACGCGAAAGCGUGGUCUAGCGAACCUACGAGGUUCCGGAAUGGGACCCGUAGAUGACAGAAAAGCUACCUUAGGGAUAACAGAGUCGUCACUCGCAAGAGCACAUAUCGACCGAGUGGCUUGCUACCUCGAUGUCGGUUCCCUCCAUCCUGCCCGUGCAGAAGCGGGCAAGGGUGAGGUUGUUCGCCUAUUAAAGGAGGUCGUGAGCUGGGUUUAGACCGUCGUGAGACAGGUCGGCUGCUAUCUAUUGGGGGUGUGAGGUACCUGACGUGAACGAACGUAUAGUACGAGAGGAACUACGUUUGGUCGCCACUGGUGUAUCGGUUGUCCGAGAGGGCAGAUGCCGAGUAGCCACGCGACACGGGGUAAGAGCUGAACGCAUCUAAGCUCGAAACCCACAUGGAAAAGAGGUACCACAGAGGUCACUCGUAGAAGACGAGUUCGAUAGACUCGGGGUGUACGCACCGAGGCAACGAGGUGUUAAGCCCACGAGCACUAACAGACC
Molecule: ribosomal RNA, 2303 nt
Filed under: Halorubrum distributum JCM 13561
Lineage: Archaea; Methanobacteriati; Methanobacteriota; Halobacteria; Halobacteriales; Haloferacaceae
Description: bacterial LSU rRNA
Rfam family: Archaeal large subunit ribosomal RNA
Source: RNAcentral